UGGGGAAUAUUGCACAAUGGGCGGAAGCCUGAUGCAGCAACGCCGCGUGAGGGAUGACGGCCUUCGGGUUGUAAACCUCUUUUAGCAGGGAAGAAGCGAGAGUGACGGUACCUGCAGAAAAAGCGCCGGCUAACUACGUGCCAGCAGCCGCGGUAAUACGUAGGGCGCAAGCGUUAUCCGGAAUUAUUGGGCGUAAAGAGCUCGUAGGCGGUUUGUCGCGUCUGCUGUGAAAUCCCGAGGCUCAACCUCGGGCCUGCAGUGGGUACGGGCAGACUAGAGUGCGGUAGGGGAGAUUGGAAUUCCUGGUGUAGCGGUGGAAUGCGCAGAUAUCAGGAGGAACACCGAUGGCGAAGGCAGAUCUCUGGGCCGUAACUGACGCUGAGGAGCGAAAAGGGUGGGGAGCAAAACAGGCUUAGAUACCCUGGUAGUCCACCCCGUAAACGUUGGGAACUAGUUGUGGGGACCAUUCCACGGUUUUCCGUGACGCAGCUAAACGCAUUAAGUUCCCCGCCUGGGGAGUACGGCCGC
Molecule: ribosomal RNA, 528 nt
Filed under: uncultured bacterium
Lineage: Bacteria
Description: partial 16S ribosomal RNA
Rfam family: Bacterial small subunit ribosomal RNA
Source: RNAcentral